Molecule: long non-coding RNA, 8144 nt
Organism: Passer domesticus (house sparrow)
Lineage: Eukaryota; Metazoa; Chordata; Aves; Passeriformes; Passeridae
Exons: 2
Source: RefSeq, a predicted model, not a curated record
CGCCCCCAGUGAUGUGCUGGCACAACUUGCUUUGUCCAAUAACACGACUUCACUGCCUAAUCCCCUCCACAGGGGACAUCAUGCAAUCAAGUUCCUGGAUUUCCUGACUUAUUUGGGCAAACAGCACAGUCUGCAUCCCGUGCUCACCCUCCCUGAGAGCCAUGGGCAGGACUUGUCCCACAGCACCAUGAUGAGUGCCACAGGAGCGCCCUCGGUGGCUUCACCCUGGGGAGCAAAUGAAGGCAUGGGACACUUGGAGACACAGCUGUGAGGUGGCACUUGGGAAUGAGUUUUUCAGUACCUGCCAUGUGCUGGGCACAGCACAAAGGGGAAGGUCUGUGGACACCAUGUGGCCUUAUUCCCUUUCUGUCUCCUAAGAGAUGUGGUUGACCACGCAGCUGAGGCAGGAGCACAGCAGUUUAAGAGAGAUGUCCAUGCCUGGGAGAUAUUAAGGCCAAUAUUUUAAGAGUGUUCAGGAAAGACUAAACAUUGUUUGAAUGAAGAGGAGAAAAAGAAAAGACAGCUGACCCUGUUAGAGCUGUAUCUUCCCCUAUGAAGAGGCAACAACCAGCUUUUGGCCUUCAGGAGCCAAAGAAAUGAUACGUUUCAGGCCCACAGAACUUCUCCUCCUCAAAAGGGAAACAGGCCCCAUCUAUGCCCCAGCGUGGUGCAACACACCUGCUCAGACCCCUGCUGUGGGCCUUGGCCAGGGCCAGCUCCCAUAAGAGGGAUCUGUACUGGAUGGGCCAGGAAAACUGGAUGCUUCUGCCAAGGAUCCAAGCUGGCCAUAUCUGUACUGCCUACAAAUCCCACUGGGCCAGGCAAGACUUCCAGUGCGUGCUGCCAGACAUUAACCCUGUGCAAGCUGGGGCUGUUGAGGCAGGGGAUGCACAUCGGCCCAGUGGAACAGAGCGGGACCACAAAGAGGAAGAGAAAUGUACUCAAAAGUGAAACUUGAAAAAGGGAAUGUUUCUUUGCUUCCCUUCCAGCCUGGUUUACAGCAUUCUCUCUGCCACAUCAGAAGACAUCCUGCUCUUCAACUGCAUCCUACUGCAAGGCUGCUCAUGCUGGAGGCUUUACUUUUUUCCUCUGAAGCUGCAGGCCACAGAUGAAAAACUGAUAUAGAGGGGUUCCAGGGCUGAAUCAGGACAUUAUUUUUGCUGUUUCUUUAGAAAUACCCAAUCCAACCUAUUUUUGGAGAAGAAAAGGGGCACUUAAAAAAGCAGUACCACUUGGUUGCCCUCCUGCCACCAUCUCUAUUUAUUGAUACUGACAUUUUUUAAAGGGCUCUUGGGAGGGAGCAUAUGUGGUUUCCGAGGACACUUUCCCAAAAAAAAAAAAAAUCAGAGCAUGUAGCUGAUGGUUUGUGUCUCUGUUAGUAUUCAGCUCCUAAAUUUAAGCUUCCAGAGAAAUGCCAAAACUGACUUGGACAAGUAAAAUUCAGUGGGAAAAGAGUGUCACUUCCUAAAUCUGCAGGAGACAUGUUUUAUAAAAACAGCUGAACUGUAUAUUAUGAACAGCAAGACCAUUUGACAUAAGAUUUUCCAAGCAUUUACAGGUGUGACUGCAUAGGUGAACUAUGAGUUUAAUUGGUUGUCCAUAUGUACCAUCUUCAUCACUGACAUUAAUGCAGUAAAAUCUUUUCUUUUGGGGUGUGUGUGCAGACAUCUGGAGUGCAGAUUGUAACAGCUCUCUAGUUGCAAUGUUAUCCCUAGAAGAACCGUGUUUUUUGAACAUGAAAGAACACAUUGUUUUCAAAGGGCUUUGCAGUCACAUCUGGAAGAAGUGCUCCUCCUGAUGCUUCAAGACAGAAAGGAGAAGAGCUGAUGGGAUAUCAGCUGAGGGAAAGCUUGCUUCCUCCUCUAAUAUAGGAAGCUGGACUUCUUUUGAAUUAUUUAGCAUUCAGUCAGCAGAUAAAAAUACACUGACUGGAUGAACCAGUGACCUCUUCUAUGAUCACAAUAGCUGUAGUAGCCGGGGGGGGCAGGAAGGGCCUACAACUGCACAUCUUCUCCAUAUUCUCAUGCAGAAAGCUUCAAUCAUUAAUGGAGGUGCAAGACCAGGCUGGAGCCACCUUGUUGAGGCUGGGCUCAGAGAGAAGGCCCUCUUACACUUUAAAUCACAGCACCUACACUGCUAUCUCAGAGCCCCAGGUACCUGUGCAGCAUCACUGAGACUGACCUUUCUGAGACCCCAGCCAGACACCUUUUCCCACGAAGCUUGGAGCAAUGUGUCAUGCAAACCCCAUCUAAAAGCUGGCUCUUUCACCUGCUAACAUGCAUCCAUUGAACACACAAGCUGUGCUCCAGGAACAAGGAGCAAAAAAGCACCACUCGAAGAGGCAUUGCUGGGUUAAAUGUUCCACAGGAGGACCAACAUCUUCUCCACUACACAUCUUUUUUUGGUAGCAUCAGAAUGAGAUAUUUGAUUAAAUGCACAGGAGCAGUAUGGCUUCAGCAGUUAAACUGCUAUUUUGUGUAUUCUGGGAAGGGGGGGACAUCAACAGAUUGCAAAAUGGGAAAGUCUCUCUGGACACAGCAAACAAACAACAUGUUACGUAAUUAGGCCUUUUGGGAACCAGGGGAAGGUCUCCAGAAGAUCAGGGCCCUCCCAGCGCUUUCUAAUUUUACUGGGACUUACCAGCAAGCCAGCCCUCUAAUAAUAGAGGCUUGUGCAUACUUUUCUUUCAUCUUCAUGUCUCCCUGUACUGCCCUACCUUUGUUAUUACUGCCCCAGAAAAACACAUCUUACUCACUUUUAUCAAGCUGAUUCAUUCAGACUUGAAUGGCAGACCUGAAGAGGCACUAAAGACCUUUAGAAAGGGCAGCAAAGACAUCUCUUGGCCAUCAGAGCAUGAAAAAAACUGGAAUUUUAGAACUUUAUUGAAUCCAGUGUGCUAGGGAAUUGCACCUGAACUGAAGUACAGCGCUGUCAAGCAACGACAGAGCGAAAAGUCUUUAGCUCCAUAAUCCACAUAUUGUGCUAGUAUAUCUUCUUUAUUGGAGCAAAUUCUUCCAAGGGAGCAUGCCUGUAAGCAGCAGCUCAGCAUCAGGAACACUCUGCCUCUGUGUUGUCCUAAACUUGUGUCAAAGGCAAAACAUGGACCUGCAGGAAACCUGUCAGUCAGAUUGUACCACCCAGCACCUGAACAUGGACCGCAGCAUCUGAGUUUUAGACUAAUACCUACUGCCUUUCAGGCACACAGAUAGAUUGGAAUAUGUACCACUGGUUUCAUUCUGUCAAGGUCCUCUCCCACCUGAAUGGAGAGAGACCCUUGGUCAACCUCUUUCUCUUACACCCAGGCCCCAGGCUGUGGACACUUCUGAGGUACCAUCACUCCCUGUGAUUCCUGGGAGAGACAGUUUAAAGACAAUAGAGAUACAAUGGCAUCUGCACAGAAAAGGUUUCUAAGAAAGCUGCUUUCCCCUGUUUCUUGCUUGCUAUGCACAUUCUGGCAGCUGGUAAGAAGAGGAAGGAGGAGGGUUGCAGCCCUGGUGAGGGCACACCAGCACAGAUCCCACAGGAUGUGGUCAGCCCGCUUCCAGCACACCCCUUGGUUACUGGGCUGUUGGCAAAAGUCAGCAGUGAACAGCUCAGAGGAGGGAAGGCCACCGCAAGAGGUAAGCAGGCACAGCCAGGGAGGCACACCUUGCCUCAUCACAGCCCCAGCACCAAGAGGCAGCACAGACACAGGUCUUGGAUGAAGGACAGCACAGAGAUCCUGGCCACAGUGGUGGAUCCAUGGGAAGGCACAGUCCAAGCCCCUCUGAGCACUGUUACAGAGGCUGUGGCCAUACGUUUGGCCUGCCAUGUAAACAUGUCACAUCCCAUGGGAGCUGGGAACAAAUGUCAAAGUCUAACUGCCACUAGCCCAGUUUUGAUAGUGUUGAGUGACCUGGAUAAAAAGAAAAGAUCUUUUGGGAGAUAUCCUUACAGCCUAGUUCAUUGCAUCUCUGCAGACAAUUCCCUGCAUCUCCCAAAAUGUUAAAAAAAAAAUUCAAAUAACUGCAUUCCUCUCUACUACAUUUAUCAUUCAGCAGUCAGAAGCUAUGUGCUCUUGACCCUUGUUUGAGCAACAUGUCUGCUGUAGCCUCCAGAGCUACAACAUCAUAGAGCUGUGAACUUUUUGCUCAGUUUUUCCUGGGAAGUCAAAAUCCCAACUGGUAUAAAUACUGCCUGAGAACUAUAAAUCACCUUUUUCCCCCCUGCCAUCUACUUCAAGAAGCUUUAUGAAGAAGUUUCAUUCUCCCUAUGCAGAUGCAGCAGAUACAGGUGACAGAGAGAAGGACCUCUCUGGGCACUCACCAUAGUUUGUCUCAGCUCCUGGGAGACCAGUAGCACAAUAAAUAACACCCAAACCAAAAUUUCGCUCUCCCUUUACCCAGCAGUGCCCUUUACCAGUUACUUCUUUCAGUUCUAAUGCAGUGUUUUUGUGCUACAGAACUUAGUCCCUGUGGCUGCAAACACAGAAUUCACUGUAGGAAGAGACUCAGGCUGGAAAAACACAGCUCCCAGCCCUUACUCCUCCCAGAGCACCAGCUGGGCAAGGAAAUGUCUUCAUGACAUACCCAAGGAUAAAUGUUUUCUGCCGUGAUUUACUGAGCAAAUUUAUGUUCUCCACAUAAUGUAAUAAGGCUACAGCACUAAUAAUUUCCGCAGCAUCCAAAUAGCAACACUCAGGACUAGCCUCCAACAGCUUUCAGCCUCCUUUUUUUUACUUGCAAGCAGCUGAAUGUAACUGCAGUUACAUCCUAACCAUGAAGCUUCCCUGCUUAACAACACUUUUUCAACAUGUGUAUUGGACAGUGACCCAGACCUGCACCCUUUAGAACACGAAAAGGUGAAGCAACCUUCACCAAAGCCCUGAGCAGAGCAUCAGCAGGACAGCUGUGACCCAGUACUGGAUGAUCUGAGCCUCAACAGGAAACAGGAAGCAGGUACCACAAUUCACACACUCAGUUUAAGCCCUUUGCAGGACAGGCCCUCGUGCCUGGGUUUUGGUUUUGUUUCACAGCCACCUCGGUUUUGUUCUCUGCUCUGCUGCAGAGCUGAGGCUGUAGAGAUCUGCUCAGCACAUGGGUACAGCUCCCAGAUCAGCUCCACCUCCUUGCUGCUGGAAGGCUGGAGUGCCCCUGACCAGGCAUCACUCUCCAGUCUGCUGUAAAGGCAGGGACACAGUGUUUCAGGCUCCCCACAGCACCUAAGGCCAUUCAUGGCUUAUUGCAAUGCACUGGCACCCAAACACCUCCAGUGCAGCUCUGGGAUCAAAGUGCAUUUCAUUUCAGGAGAAACAGAGACUGUAAGAAACAAAUAAAACCUUGACUUACACUAUCUCAUCAUUCUGGAACUCCAGUUCCCCACAGGUGUCUUCAAAGUCCUCUCCUCCACCUUUGGCCGUGCCUUCAAUGGUUUUGUAGGGCACAAUAACAUUUCCUCGUGCUCCAGAGGUUCGCAACACUUUCACUUCCAUGGUUCCUACGCUUUCACUGAUGUGUGUUACUGGCUCCUCGAAGGUGAAGAUGCCGGCGUGGUCAUCGUCAAAAAUGGUGACGGUGGCAGUAGAUGGCGAUCCCAAGCAGGCAAGUGUUGAGACACGGCUGGCCUCAAGAACGCCCUCAUCUGAGGCCUCGGUGCUCACACGGACGUUGCUGAGAUGGACCAGGAAGUUCUCAUCCUCCUCAAAUAUGUCAUCGUCGAUUAUGCCAACACGGAUUUCCUUCUGGGUCUCUCCAGGCUUGAAGACCACCGUCCCUUCAGUGAAUUCAUAGUCAGAGCCGGCGUUGGCCGUGCCGUCCUCUGUCCGGAAGUCGACGUACACGGUGUUGGUCAGGUCUCCUCCCCGGCGGACGAUGGUCAGGGCCACGGUGCCACAGUUCUCCAAGCACUGGUAGGUGCCCUGCUCGAAGUAGAGCUUGCUGACGGGAUCGUUUUCGGUCACCUCGCUGUUGACCUCGUGCAUGCUGACGGCUUUGCGGGCCUGGUCUGCAGCGUGUCUCUUCAGGAUGUUGCCAGCGCCGGUCAUGAGCCGAGUGGCCUGGAUGCGGUAGAAGGCCCUGCUCUUCUGCUGCUGGCUCAGGACCUGGUAGUUGGCCAACUCUAUGAGCUGCUCAAUUUCCUUGUCUGGGUGCUUUUGUUUCAGCUCCUUCAGGAUCCGAGCCAUUUCCCUCCUGGCUUCCUCGUCAUCCUGGUCUUUUUCGUCCACCUCCAACACCAGUGUCCCAUCCAAAAAGUUCUCUACAUGAGAAUUAGCCACCUUCCCGUCCAUCUCGAUGUCAGCCUUGGAGGAGGGCCGGUCACCCUCAUGCUCAAUGAUCAUGCCUCUCUGCUUGCCAGCUCGGUAUUUCUUGUAGACGUACUUGUAAAAUAAAAGCCUCCUGUCAGCUAUCCAGGCAAACACCACACAGAUGGGGAAAAAGAAGAAGGUGAGCAAGCCUUCCCAAACUUCCACAAUCCCAGGAGAAGACACAGAUAAAAUAAUGUAAAGCCAAGUGUAGGCAAAGAUGCUCCAGGCCGCUGUAACAAAAAACACUCGCAAGUGCUUGAUCUUCCUUAUCUCUCCAUCUGGCACCACGUACACACAGAUUGCAAUGAUGACAAACAUGUUGAAGGCAGCACUCCCCACAAUGGUGCUUGGCCCCAAGUCCCCCGCCGUGAAGCCAUGGCCGCACACCUCGAUAACAGACAGGAGGAUCUCCGGAGCAGACGAGCCCAGGGCCAUCAGCGUGAGGUUGGAAACAGUCUCGUUCCAGAUCCUCACGGUGGUUUUGCUGGUCUCGCCGUUGGGCUUCUUGAUGGUUAUUUCCCGCUCUUGGGAUGUAAUGACUUCGAUGGAGGACAUGAAGCGGUCGGCGAUGAUGGACACUCCCAGGAACAUGUACACCAUUGCUACAAAAUACACCGUUGCCCGAGCGAUUUUGUCCCCAAACGAGGGGUCCUGGGGUUCCCAUAUUGGUAAAAUCACCCCCUUUUUGCAGAUGUAGGAGCCAGCGCACUCCUCGGUGUCGUUGGCGGGCAGUUCACUGGGGCUCUCCGCAUGUGUGCCCUCUGCAUGGAAGAGUAGCACCAGGACAAGGCUCAGGAGAGGGAAGCUCACUGGGAAGGCGUGUGAGUGAGUUACUCGCGACAUGGCCACUUCCACCAGACGGGUCCCAAACAUCCUCAACCUGAAGAGGCAAAAAGGAAAGAUUAAGUGAGGCCAACCAGAGAUAACAGAUUUUCCCCUCCAAAGAUACGGUCAAGUUAUCCUGUUACUCAAGAAGAUGCAGCUGAUGAGCCCAUUUUGUUAUGAUUAGUGAUGUUUUCCAUCCUCUAGCUCAGUCAUCUGAAGCAGGAUGGAUUCAGAUGGUACCAGUGAGCUAGCACCUACUCCCUUUAGCUACCAUGAUGUUUCUUUCUCUUUGUUGAAAACCUAUUUGUUCAAUUGCAUUUUCUUGUUCCUCUAAUCUAAUUAAAGCCCAUCAUUCUGCUUCACAGCUGGCAGAAGUGUUUCCCAUUUCAAAAUUACAGUGCCCUCACUCACUCACUGGAAUUCAGGGUAAGAGCAGGAGAGGACAGGGAAAUCUACUAUCCCCUCAUCAUGUUUAAAAAAUAUUUUUCUACUUCUAAAUCAUUGUAAGCUAUGUAUUCCACAGUCUUUUCUUGCUCACGGUCCUCCCAACAUCUACUCCACAUCGGAAAUCUGCGCAAAGUGAGUUGGAGCCCUGGAAAAACCUUACUCUUAACAGUAACUUGGUCAUAAGGUGCACCAGAAGGGCAGCCUGUAAUUAAUGAUUUUGGAGCCAUUCCUUCCACAGUGCAUCACUUUGCACCUUCCCAAAACUGGAAAGAGCCGCAUAUGCAUCGAAGCCUGGCUCUCUUGGCAUGCUCCUAGAGGAAACGUGUCCCUGCGCUCUUUUCCCACUAGGUCAGCUUUGACGGCUUCCCCUUCAAGGGCCUUUCUCACUCCAUUUACAACAUCAGUCAUCAGGCAUGACAGCCGUUCUUGCCCUUGUCCUGCCUCAGGAUUUUCCAGCAAUGUAGAGGAGCUGUUAAAGAGGUUUGCAGUUAGUUAACAGUGCAUAAACCGACAGAACAGAUGCCUUUAAGUACAAAGAGAUGCUUAGUGAAAAAAAAAAACCAAAAAACCCUGAGCAUGCUCAGUGUCA